UAACCUUGUACAUGUGUCGCUAGGAGAGGGGAGGUCGUACAGGUAAGAUCUAAGGUAGAGGGGUGUUAUAGUCUAACCUUGUACAUGUGUCACUAGGAGAGGGGAGUUCCUACAGGUAAGAUCUAAGGUAGAGGGUCGUUAUAGUGUAACCUUGUGCAUGUGUCGCUAGGAGAGGGGAGGUCCUACAGGUAAGAUUUAAGGGAGAGGGUCGUUAUAGUGUAACCUUGUACAUGUGUCGCUAGGAGAGGGGAGGUCCUACAGGUAAGAUUUAAGGUAGAGGGUUGUUAUAGUCUAACCUUGUACAUGUGUCACUAGGAGAGGGGAGGUCCUACAGGUAAGAUUUAAGGUAGAGGGUUGUUAUAGUCUAACCUUGUACAUGUGUCACUAGGAGAGGGGAGGUCGUACAGGUAAGAUCUAAGGUAGAGGGUUGUUAUAGUGUAACCGUGUACAGAUGUCACUAGGAGAGAGGAGGUCCUACAGGUAAGAUCAAAGGUAGAGGGUCGUUAUAGUGUAACCUUGUACAUGUGUCACUAGGAGAGGGGAGGUCCUACAGGUAAGAUCAAAGGUAGAGGGUCGUUAUAGUGUAACCUUGUACAUGUGUCACUAGGAGAGGGGAGGUCCUACAGGUAAGAUCAAAGGUAGAGGGUCGUUAUAGUGUAACCUUGUACAUGUGUCACUAGGAGAGGGGAGGUCCUACAGGUAAGAUCAAAGGUAGAGGGUCGUUAUAGUGUAACCUUGUACAUGUGUCACUAGGAGAGGGGAGGUCCUACAGGUAAGAUCAAAG
Mizuhopecten yessoensis (Yesso scallop) is the source of this 784-nucleotide long non-coding RNA. RefSeq lists it as uncharacterized. NCBI's taxonomy places the organism in Eukaryota, Metazoa, Mollusca, Bivalvia, Pectinida, Pectinidae. The transcript has 3 exons. The record is from RefSeq and is a predicted model, not a curated record.